Molecule: RNase P RNA, 449 nt
Filed under: Planctomycetia bacterium
Lineage: Bacteria; Pseudomonadati; Planctomycetota; Planctomycetia
Description: RNase P RNA component class A
Rfam family: Bacterial RNase P class A
About the family: Ribonuclease P (RNase P) is a ubiquitous endoribonuclease, found in archaea, bacteria and eukarya as well as chloroplasts and mitochondria. Its best characterised activity is the generation of mature 5'-ends of tRNAs by cleaving the 5'-leader elements of precursor-tRNAs.
Source: RNAcentral
AGAGUCGGCCGGACGGUCGCUGGCGGUUGUGCCUGUUUCUCCGCUUUAGUCAGAGUCAUUUGGCGAGGCGGAAUAACAAGGCACCCGCGGGAGGAAAGUCCGGGCUCCGCAGGAUGCAGUGGUGGGUAACGCCCACCGGUCGUGAGACCAGGGAAAGUGCAACAGAAAGAUACCGCCACGUCGCGUCAGCUUCGGCUGGCGUGGCGCGGUAAGGGUGAAAUGGUGCGGUAAGAGCGCACCAGCGAACGGGUGACCGUUCGGCUCGGCAAACCCCACUGGGAGCAAGGCCAAACAGGGAUUGUCACAGGCGAUAAUUCGUCGGUGACUUGAGUGAUCCGCUCCAUAUCCCGGGUAGGCCGCUAGAGCGCGCAGGCAACUGUGCGUCCAGAUAAAUGACCGUCGCCGGACGCAAGUCCGGAACAGAACCCGGCUUAUGGCCGACUCUCAUU